UACGUAGGGUGCGAGCGUUAAUCGGAAUUACUGGGCGUAAAGCGUGCGCAGGCGGUUUUGUAAGCCAGAUGUGAAAUCCCCGGGCUCAACCUGGGAAUGGCAUUUGGGACUGCAAGGCUGGAGUUUGGCAGAGGAGACUGGAAUUCCUGGUGUAGCAGUGAAAUGCGUAGAUAUCAGGAGGAACACCGAUGGCGAAGGCAGGUCUCUGGGCUGAAACUGACGCUCAAGCACGAAAGCGUGGAGAGCAAACAGG
This 253-nucleotide ribosomal RNA is filed under the name uncultured bacterium. RNAcentral's name for it is "partial 16S ribosomal RNA". It matches the Rfam family "Bacterial small subunit ribosomal RNA", at positions 524 to 776 of the family's 1533-position model. The record is from RNAcentral.